AUGGAACCACCUCGGACCCAGCGAGGCAGCUUGAGCUUGGCAGCUGGGCUUGUCCUGCUGGUGCUCGGUGGCGAACGGGCGAAGCAGCGGCUGGCAAGGGAAGGUCGAGGGCGGACGGGACGGGCGCAGGGGUCGCGGACGAGCAGGACGGAGAGGAAGCAGUGGCGCGGUCCAUACAGAGGGUCAACCCGGGCCGCGCCUGGCUCGUCCUCAAAGCAGAGGCGAGGCGCUCGCCGAGAAGAGACAGGACGGCGACAACGAACUUGGCAGGGAGGAGGCAGGGAACACAGGGCCUCAUGA
This 300-nucleotide ribosomal RNA is filed under the name Triticum aestivum (bread wheat). RNAcentral's name for it is "partial small subunit ribosomal RNA". Lineage: Eukaryota; Viridiplantae; Streptophyta; Magnoliopsida; Poales; Poaceae. The record is from RNAcentral.